CCGGCCAGAGACCGAUAGCGCACAAGUAGAGUGAUCGAAAGAUGAAAAGCACUUUGGAAAGAGAGUUAAAAAGUACGUGAAAUUGUUGAAAGGGAAGCGCUUGCAACCAGACCUGCUUUCGGGUGAUCAACCGUCGUUCUCGGCGGUGCACUCGCCCGUUGCAGGCCAGCAUCGGUUCGGGCGGCCGGACAAAGGCCCCGGGAAUGUAGCUUCCCUCGGGAAGUCUUAUAGCCCGGGGUGCAAUGCGGCCAGCCCGGACCGAGGACCGCGCUUCGGCUAGGAUGCUGGCGUAAUGGUUGUAAGCGGCCCGUCUUGAAACACGGACCAAGGAGUCUAACAUCUAUGCGAGUGUUUGGGUGUCAAACCCAUGCGCGGAAUGAAAGUGAACGGAGGUGAGAACCCGCAAGGGCGCAUCAUCGACCGAUCCAGAUGUCUUCGGAUGGAUUUGAGUAAGAGCAUAGCUGUUGGGACCCGAAAGAUGGUGAACUAUGCCUGAAUAGGGUGAAGCCAGAGGAAACUCUGGUGGAGGCUCGCAGCGGUUCUGACGUGCAAAUCGAUCGUCAAAUUUGGGUAUAGGGGUGAGUUCUCUUCUUUCUAUCAUCAACAGGAGCAUGCUAACAUUGUGUCA
Molecule: ribosomal RNA, 628 nt
Filed under: Lobothallia sp.
Lineage: Eukaryota; Fungi; Ascomycota; Lecanoromycetes; Pertusariales; Megasporaceae
Description: partial large subunit ribosomal RNA
Rfam family: Eukaryotic large subunit ribosomal RNA
Source: RNAcentral